Long non-coding RNA from Octopus sinensis (East Asian common octopus), 104 nucleotides. RefSeq lists it as uncharacterized. The record is from RefSeq and is a predicted model, not a curated record. Lineage: Eukaryota; Metazoa; Mollusca; Cephalopoda; Octopoda; Octopodidae. The transcript is spliced from 3 exons.
UAAUAACAUAGGUGUAUUAUGUAGGGGGAUUUGAAAUGGAUUUAGUGGGAAAAUAUAAACUGGUGGUCAACAUGAACCAAUAUCUAUAUUAGGAGCCAAACUUA